Molecule: small nuclear RNA, 116 nt
Organism: Alosa alosa (allis shad)
Lineage: Eukaryota; Metazoa; Chordata; Actinopteri; Clupeiformes; Clupeidae
Product: U5 spliceosomal RNA
Exons: 1
Source: RefSeq, a predicted model, not a curated record
GCAGCCGCCGGUUUCUUCAUCUCGCACAAAUCUUUCGCCUUUUACUAAAGAUUUUCCGCGGAGGGGAACUGCCCCGAAGCUAUUUGUAUUUUGGAAGCUCUGUUUCGGGCGGAGCU